RNAcentral lists this ribosomal RNA (352 nucleotides) under Escherichia coli. Its description in RNAcentral is "bacterial SSU rRNA". It matches the Rfam family "Bacterial small subunit ribosomal RNA", at positions 94 to 449 of the family's 1533-position model. RNAcentral also lists the same sequence under 2 other names. The record is from RNAcentral. Lineage: Bacteria; Pseudomonadati; Pseudomonadota; Gammaproteobacteria; Enterobacterales; Enterobacteriaceae.
AGUGGCGGACGGGUGAGUAAUGUCUGGGAAACUGCCUGAUGGAGGGGGAUAACUACUGGAAACGGUAGCUAAUACCGCAUAACGUCGCAAGACCAAAGAGGGGGACCUUCGGGCCUCUUGCCAUCGGAUGUGCCCAGAUGGGAUUAGCUAGUAGGUGGGGUAACGGCUCACCUAGGCGACGAUCCCUAGCUGGUCUGAGAGGAUGACCAGCCACACUGGAACUGAGACACGGUCCAGACUCCUACGGGAGGCAGCAGUGGGGAAUAUUGCACAAUGGGCGCAAGCCUGAUGCAGCCAUGCCGCGUGUAUGAAGAAGGCCUUCGGGUUGUAAAGUACUUUCAGCGGGGAGGAA